AGAGUUUGAUCCUGGCUCAGAAUCAACGCUGGCGGCGUGCCUCAGACAUGCAAGUCGAACGCGAAAGUCCCCUUCGGGGGAUGAGUAGAGUGGCGCACGGGUGAGUAACACGUAGGUAAUUUGCCUUCGGGUGGGGAAUAACAGCCGGAAACGGCUGCUAAUACCGCAUAAUGCAGCGGCUCGACAUCGAGACAGUUGUUAAAGCGGGGGAUCGCAAGACCUCGCGCCUGAAGAGAAGCCUGCGGCGGAUUAGCUUGUUGGUAGGGUAAUGGCCUACCAAGGCGACGAUCCGUAACCGGCCUGAGAGGGCGGUCGGUCACACUGACACUGACAUACG
This 337-nucleotide ribosomal RNA is filed under the name uncultured Acidobacteriota bacterium. RNAcentral's name for it is "bacterial SSU rRNA". It matches the Rfam family "Bacterial small subunit ribosomal RNA", at positions 8 to 328 of the family's 1533-position model. The record is from RNAcentral. Lineage: Bacteria; Pseudomonadati; Acidobacteriota.